CCCACUCCUGCCCACAAGAGAACAACCCCCUUUAACUGUAAUUUUCCACUACCUACCCAAAUCCUAUAAAACUGUCCCACCCCAUCUCUCUCCCUUUGCUGACUCCUUUUUCAGAUUCGCCCACCUACGCCCAGGUGAUUAAAAAGCUUUAUUGCUCACACAAAGACUGUUUGGUGGUCUCUUCACACGGACGCAUGUAACAUUUGGUGCUGAAGACCUGGGACAGGGGGAUUCCUUCAGGAGACUGGUCCCCUGUCCUCGCCCUCACUCCUUGAGGAGAUCCACCUACGACCUUGGGUCCUGAAAUCAGCCCAAGGAACAUCUCACCAAUUUCAAAUCAGGGGGCUGGAGCCCUGGGCCAAGGGAGACCUGUGACCCCAGGUGCCGCCGGGAGAACUUCAGCCCAGAGGGGAAAUCAGCUCUCCGUGACCCAGCACCCCUACCCAGCAGCGCAACAGAUCCUGAGAGGAGCUACAGGAUGAUUCUAGAAACAGCGCACUUCAGGAAUCAUGUUGCAGGUGUUGUGCAUUGGAUCCACCACAGUCGGCUGAAACUGACAACUCAAGACAAGUGGACCAGCCAGCAGGACCCAGAUCAUCCAACUCGGCUGAUCCUGAGACGGGACCAAACUGCUGCCGAAGACGACCGCCCUGUUCUGGUCACUCCGGAGGCUAACCAGCCUACGCAUGGCUGAAGUUUGAGGAAACAACAAGCCCUGCUCUAGUCACACACUGAAAGCUGACUAGUCUAUGCACGGCCAAAGCUUGAGGACUCAUCAAGCAAGUAAAUGUAGUUAGAAAUCUUAGAACUAGUAGUUUUCCUUGUAAUAUUAACUGUUUUACUAUUGUUCUGUCACUGUGCUCAACCUCCUCUCCCAAAUAAGGACCUCUUCUGUCCUUACUAGAUAUGAAUAUACUGUACAUUGUUUUACUGUUGUUACCCCACUUAACCAUGCUAGAAGAAACACCCAUAGAAGGGUGUCCCCAUCGUACACAUACUACAUGGUCAGAAAACAGUAUAACCAGGACUCUAUUAUACCAUACUUAUUAUGAGUAUACAGGGACUCACCUAGGAACUUGUACUUACAAUCAGAUCACCUAUUCAAUUUAUGACCCAGGAAAUGGCCAGCUACCUAGGUGGAAGAUAGGUCAUGGAGUUACCGUACUCCUACUUACGUGCUUAAGCGCAUCAUAAGGUUACAGGCAGGGCUUGAGAUCAUCACUAAUAAACAUCAAAUGCAUUAGAUUUACUGACCCAGCAAGCUACAAAAAAUGAGGAAUGCUAUCUAUCAGAACAGAUUAGCUUUAGACUAUCUCCUAGCCCAGGAAGGAGGAGUAUGUGGAAAAUUCAAUCUAACUAAUUGUUGCCUGGAAAUCAAUGACAAUGGAAAGACAUUUAUGGAAAUAACUGCAAGAAUAAGAAAAUUAACCCACGUUCCAGUUCAAACGUAGAAAGGGUGGUCUCCAGAUUCUCUCUUUGGAGGCUGUUUUUCAUUUUUCGGAGGGUUCAAGACUUUAAUAAGAUUGAUUCUGGCCAUACUAGGAAGUUGCCUAAUACUACCUUGUCUCUUACCUCUCCUUGUUAGAAACAUUCAGUCAACUAUAGAGGCAAUAGUAGCUAGGCAAACUACCAGUCAGCUAAUGGCUCUAUGUAAAUGUCAACCUUUGUCUAAAGAAGAAAACUUGUCUCUUCAUGCAAAAUUAAAUAAUAGUGAUGCCUCCUAUUAAAUUUCUUUUAUAAAAGGCAUCAAAGGGGGGAAACUGAGGCAGAAAUUUAAAAAUAAAUAUGCAUUCAUUCACUCCAAGAAAAGUUAACAGGCAAGGCAAGGGUUAAAAAGAAAAGAACAAGUUUUCCUCGGCCUAGCAAGCUCACUUCAAGGACAGUUAUAAGAUAAUGUUGUUUGAGAAGCCAAGUCCAAAGGAAUGGGUUCCAGACAUCCCUCCCCUCUAGAACAAGGUUGAAGGAAAAAAAAAAAAAAAGAAGAAGACAAAUUCCUUUACUGUUACUCCUUUCCCUGGCUUCUUAAGCAUGAUUAUGUUUUACAAAUGUCUGUAUUUAGCCAGUUCUUGAUUUUCUUUUGACACAGCUCCAAGGCCACCAGCUAUGCAAGGCCACAAGUUAUGCACUAUAUGAUUAACUGCUUUUGUUUUACUUUUGUAAGUCCACUUAUAAAAACCCUGCUCUGUCUUUGUUUAAUGCUCAGCUUUUUGGAUUUGAAUCCACUCAGCCGGUGCACACCUUAAAAUAAACAUCCUCCUGUACUCUCAUAUUGGUCUCUCCAUUCCUCAGUUUCCCACAAGAUUACAAGCAUGAGCCACCGCACCGGGCCCAUUUUAACCAUUUUCAAAUGGAGAAUUCAGUGGUAUUAGGUACAUUUAUAUUGUUGUGCAACCAUCACCACUAUCCAUCUACAGAACUCUUUUUAUCUUGUGAAACUAAAACUCUAUACCCAUUAAACACUAACUCCUCACUCCUCCCUUCCCUCAUCACUUGACAGCCAUCCUUCUACUUUAUGUCUCUAUUCAUAGGUAUGAGCUCCCCCAUGCCUGCCCAAAUCACUAAUCUAAAAGGAAAUGUCAAGCUGAGAACUUCUUAGGGCAAACCUGCCUCCCAUUCUAUUCAAAGUUACCCCUCUGCUCAGAGAUAAAUGCAUAUCUCAUUGCCUCCUUUGGAGAAGCUAAUCAGAAACUCAAAAGAAUGCAACCAUUUGUCUCUUUUCUACCUAUGACCUGGAAGCCCCCUCCCUGCUUUGAGCUGUCCCGCCUUUCUGGACCAAACCAAUGUUCAUCUUACAUAUAUUAACUGAUGUCUCAUUUCUCCCUAAAAUGUAUAAAACCAAGCUAUGGUCUGACUACCCUGGGCACAUGACAUCAGGACCUCCUGAGACUGCGCCAUGGGUGCACAUCCUCAACUGUGGCAAAAUAAACUUUAUUUU
RNAcentral lists this long non-coding RNA (2935 nucleotides) under Homo sapiens (human). Its description in RNAcentral is "PREDICTED lncRNA (TCONS_00040581)". Lineage: Eukaryota; Metazoa; Chordata; Mammalia; Primates; Hominidae. The record is from RNAcentral.